This 228-nucleotide unclassified non-coding RNA is filed under the name plant metagenome. RNAcentral's name for it is "partial contains small subunit ribosomal RNA, internal transcribed spacer 1, and 5.8S ribosomal RNA". The record is from RNAcentral.
UCUCCGUAGGUGAACCUGCGGAGGGAUCAUUACAGAGUUCAUGCCCUACCGGGUAGAUCUCCCACCCUAUGUUAUUAUUACUUUGUUGCUUUGGCGGGCCGUUAGGCUCCGGCCCGACUACCGGCCCCGGCUGGUAAGCGCCGCCAGAGGACCCAAAACCCUGAACAUUAGUGUCGUCUGAGUACUAUAUAAUAGUUAAAACUUUCAACAACGGAUCUCUUGGUUCUG